UACGGAGGGUGCGAGCGUUGUCCGGAAUCACUGGGCGUAAAGGGCGCGUAGGUGGCCUGUGGAAGUCUGCGGUGAAAGCCCGGCGCUCAACGCCGGGUCGGCCGUGGAUACUCUCGGGCUUGAGCUCACUAGAGGCAGAUGGAAUUCCGGGUGUAGCGGUGGAAUGCGUAGAGAUCCGGAAGAACACCGGUGGCGAAGGCGGUCUGACUGGGGU
Molecule: ribosomal RNA, 214 nt
Filed under: uncultured bacterium
Lineage: Bacteria
Description: partial 16S ribosomal RNA
Rfam family: Bacterial small subunit ribosomal RNA
Source: RNAcentral